GGGCGGUUAGCUCAGCUGGUUAGAGCGCUGGUCUCACAUACCAGAGGUCGGGGGUUCGAGUCCCUCACCGCCCA
Molecule: transfer RNA, 74 nt
Filed under: Candidatus Edwardsiibacteriota bacterium
Lineage: Bacteria; Candidatus Edwardsiibacteriota
Description: tRNA-Val
Rfam family: tRNA
About the family: Transfer RNA (tRNA) molecules are approximately 80 nucleotides in length. Their secondary structure includes four short double-helical elements and three loops (D, anti-codon, and T loops).
Source: RNAcentral